Capsicum annuum is the source of this 711-nucleotide long non-coding RNA. RefSeq lists it as uncharacterized. The record is from RefSeq and is a predicted model, not a curated record. The transcript is spliced from 2 exons. NCBI's taxonomy places the organism in Eukaryota, Viridiplantae, Streptophyta, Magnoliopsida, Solanales, Solanaceae.
GUGAGAGCAAAUCAAUAAAUUGGGUCACAAAUCUUCAUAUUCAAGCAUAGGUAGGCCGUAUUUUGCUGUAGAUGUAUGGAAAUUAGUUUUUGAAAGUUUCUUGAUAGGUUAUCAAGUAAUUUGUGGGUCAAUCCACAAUGUAUAGGUGCAGAUUCAGGUGAAAACACCUCUUGAACAUCUUCUAGAUCCUUUUGACUCUUUGGCAGUCCUUGAACAUCCUUCAUCGCUUCUUUUAAUGGUCUCAUGACAUUUAGUUGAGGAAAUAAAAAGAUGUGGAUUGGAGCUGAAAAUGAUUGAAAGGAAGCAAAGAAGAGUGCAGCUGAAGACAUGGACUACAUCAACCUCAGUUACCGCGACCAUGGUCCUCAAUCCGUGGUCGUGGUCAGUCAAGACGAUUAGUACAACAUGGUCGCAACACACAACCAGACUCCCAUGGACGUGGUCGUGGACAGACAUGCACAAUCUCGAUCAUACGGGUAUAUGCCCAUAGGCAGAUCUGUAAAAGUACUUAGACGAAUCCCAUAGCAUAUAUAAACAAAAACUCUUUCUUCAUUGGGUAUUUCAUACCUCAUAAGAUAUAUUUGAAUUCUAGACUUGAAACCCUAAUUGGGAAAACGUGUAAAUAACUUUGGAAGCUAAAUAUCUUAGGAUUUUUGUGAAGAAUGAAUGCUUUGAAUAAUACUUAUGAUAUAUUUAUCUUUACUUUCUUCA